This 496-nucleotide ribosomal RNA is filed under the name uncultured bacterium. RNAcentral describes it as "partial 16S ribosomal RNA". It matches the Rfam family "Bacterial small subunit ribosomal RNA", at positions 29 to 507 of the family's 1533-position model. The record is from RNAcentral.
AUGAACGCUGGCGGCGUGCCUAAUACAUGCAAGUCGAGCGAACGGACGAGAAGCUUGCUUCUCUGAUGUUAGCGGCGGACGGGUGAGUAACACGUGGAUAACCUACCUAUAAGACUGGGAUAACUUCGGGAAACCGGAGCUAAUACCGGAUAAUAUUUUGAACCGCAUGGUUCAAAAGUGAAAGACGGUCUUGCUGUCACUUAUAGAUGGAUCCGCGCUGCAUUAGCUAGUUGGUAAGGUAACGGCUUACCAAGGCAACGAUGCAUAGCCGACCUGAGAGGGUGUUUGGUCACUCUGGAACUAAGACACGGUCCAGACUCGUUCGUGAGGCAUCAGUCGUGAAUCCUCCGCAAUGGGCGAAAACGUGACGGAGCAACGCGGCGUUAGUGAUGAAGGUCUUCCGAUCGUAAGACUCUGUUAUUUGGGGUGUACAUAUGUGUAAGUACCUGUACACUUCUUGACGGUACCUAAUCAGAAAGCCACGGCUAACUACGUG